ACCAGCGAGGGUGUAUGGGGGCCUGGGGGCGCUAACGCCCUGGGCCUGUCUGCCCAGCACGCGGUCCCUUUGCUCCCUGUGCCCCAGCAGCACAGAAACCAUGAAGCACUGGCAGGUCCCCUAUGAGGUGCCAGCCUCAUCCACCUAAACUAAGGGUGGGCGUCCAAGCAUGGCUCCUGUGCCUACCAGGAAGGUGAACUAACUACCGGAAGUGCCAUCCUGACCUGCGGCCCCAAGCCUGGACAGCGUUUCCACCAGCUGGGGGUGGGGUGGGGGUGGGGAGCAAGGAGAGACUGGGAUGGGGAGGAGAAGGAAGACAACCCUCCGGACUGGAAGUUUGAAAUCCUCUCUUUAAAACACGAACUGGCGGGCUGGACUUCUUAUAUAACACUCCUUUAGUGACUGAAGCACUUGUCACAACCACCUUGGGGACCUAGCUUCAAUGUCCCCACUUUCAGGAAGUCAAGGUAUUUGCUCAGAUAGCACGUGGCUGAGCAGCGGCAGUAAAAUCAGAAUCCCCAUUUCCACUCUUAGACCAGUGAGCCCUCCUGCACCCACGACGGAGACUGAGGAGGAGAAAAAUAACCAGCCAUGCAAAAUCCAAAAAAAAAAAAAAAAUCCUUUCAAGAUUAUGAAAUCAAAGAGCAUUUUGUUGUUUCUUGGACGUUCUUCUUACUACUCUGAGGCCGCACAAUUCAACAGACAUCUCUUUAUUGUUGUUAAAGUACUUGCUCUAUCUCCUGCCUCUGUUACUAACUUUCACACCAACCGAGAACGCAAGCGUUUACCUGGGCUCCAUCCUUGGACGGCGAACGGGUCGCGCAGGCUUCCGGCCUCCUCCUCCCUGGGGUUUGGUUCCAAGGCUCCCGCAAAAUCUCGAAAUCACCCCGGAUCGGCGCGGCCACCGAGGGAAGCAGCCCGGCUCUGAACAAGCCCAGGCAAGCCCAGGCAGAGCCCGCUUCGCGGUCCUUCCUCCUGCGCGAACCACCCGGCCCCGGGGCGAGAGACGCGUCUCUCUGGCCCCAGAUCCGUGGAGUCGUCUCUCUCCAGAGGACCGGGCGCUGGCCCUCUCCUCCACCUGAGAAGGACAAGGGAGCAGGUCCCCGGAGGCACAGAUGCGGACGCGGCGAGGCGCCGGGCAGCCCGUGAGGUGGUGAGGUACGCGCCUCCCUUUCCUCGCGGUUUCUACACUGCCCUGCGCAUGUCACGGGACGCCCCUGGGGUUGAUGGGGACACAUGUGCAGCGGUGGCCCCGAAGACGCCCUUCUCAGUUGUGGGGAGGGGACUCCCCAGCCACCACCCUGCCUCCAGCCACCAUAGAUCCUACCCAAUCCGACCAGGUUUGGACCUGGGACCCUUGGGAGACAAACUGCCCUGCGGCCCUCACGGCCUGGUAUGAAGGGAAGAGGAGUUACCCAGGCCUCCCCCUGCAAGAGUUCUGCGCUCAGGGCUGUUGCUUCCUCCGAGGCAAACCCUCUUAGCAAACUCACACUUGGCGGUACUCUGCACGUGAUGCACCGAGACCCUGCAGGAACUUGUUUCCUCCACAGGGACACAACUGAAGGACUAGGGUCUUCUUGGCCCCAUGAGACACCUGCAUCUUGCACUGGGAGAAGUUGGUCCUUGGCGGGAAGUGGCUGCUGCCCCAAGCAUGUCAUCACAUGCACACUGCGGGGAGCAAGUGAGGCCAGCUGUGAGCUGACCCCAUUUGACAGAUGACAGUCCCUAGCUCACAGGGAUGAGUCUGCAUGGAGCCCACGUUCCCAGCCUUUUCCAAGGAUUCUAGAAAAGUCCCAGAGAAGGAAAGAGCCGGUCAGAAUGCCCAGAUGCACUGGAUAGCUACCUUUCCCCACAUGGGCAGUGGGGCAGAGGACCAUUUCCCACCCACCCUCCCCCCAGGGUGGCCAUCACUGUACGGUAGCUUGAGUGGGGAAGGUCUUUGCAGAUCCUCAAAGAUUCAGGAGGAUUUAAUGAGGCCAAGGCUUCCCUUGUGGCUCAAACAGUAAAGAGUCUGUCUGCCAUGCAGCAGACCCGUGUUUGAUCCCUGGGUCGGAAAGAUCCCCUGGAGAAGGGAAUGGCAACCCACUCCAGUAUCCUUGCCUGGAGAAUCCCAUGGACAGAGGAGCAUGGUGGGCUAUACGAUCCAUGGGGUCACAAAGACUGAGCAAGUAACACUUUCUUUUCAAUGAGGUCAGUGGCUCUGGAGGUGGCACAGGCGACAGAAGGGAAAAGCUGGUUCUAAUUCUGAUUCUGUGUGUGACCUCGGGGAAUAAUAAUAAUAAAGCUAACUCACACUGAGUGCUCAGUGUGCCAGAAAGAAAGUAAGUGAAGUCGCUUAGUCUUGUCUGACUCUUUGUGACCCCAUGGACUGUAGCCUUCCAGGCUCCUCCGUCUAUGGGAUUUUCCAGACAAGAAAAUCCCAUAGAUGGAUUGUCAUUUCCUUCUCCAGGGGAUGGCUUCCCUGGUGGCUCUGUCUGCCUGCAGUGCGGGAGACACUGUGUGCCAGGCAUCAACCUAAAUCCACCCUAGAUAAUAAUCUCUUUCAAUUCUCUACACAGUCCUGUGAGAUACAUACCAGUACUACCCCAUUUCCAGGUGAGAAAGCUGAGGACCAGAAAGGUAAAACUUGGCCACCAUCACGAGGGGGAGAAUGAAGUGGAACCAGGACCCAUAUUCAUUCCUUUCUGACUCCCAAGCCUCACUCCUUAAGCAGCUGCAUCUGGCCUCAAUUUGGCAAAUUGCUUAGCCUCUCCACACCUUGGUGUUCUUGUGUGUACAGACAGCAUCAGGCUCACGGUAUGGACUCAAUAUAUGUUGGUGGAAUGAAUGAACGACCCCCACACCCCUCAAGGUGGUUGUAAAGACUGUAGUAAAUGGAGUUGCUGCACACAGCAGGCACUUCAUCAGCUUACCUAAGGAACCUCUGGAGCCCUGGGUCCAAGGAAGCUAUACUUCCCUGCUCCACACUUAUGGACGUUUGGGAGCAUUUCCAGCUGAGACCUCCACCCUCACUGGUCCUUUCUUCUCCCUUUCCUUUCAGAGCCACCGAAACGCCUUGACCUGGGCGGCUGACAGAUGAAGGAGUACAUUUGGGAGACUCCAGACUCCGGUAACUAGAGGACUUGAAAUAAGAUUUAUAUCCACUUUUCCAUUCAGAGGCCAAACCACAUUCAGGCCUCUUUUUUUCCCCCCUUAAUCAUGUUUGUGUAAGUGAGGACUGGUUUAUAAAGGCAUCUCCAUAUGUCAGUCUGUCUCACCAAGGGUGUUCAGCCCAUCUGUAUUUCCCCUAGAAUUCAUCCCAUACCCAGAUGCAGAUGUACACACACCCCUGACUAGCAAGCAAGGGCACUAUAGAGAAAGGGGGCUACAGAGGUAGCAUGCACAAGCUUCAGUUCAUGGCCCCCACCCAGACACAGCUUCAAAACAGUGCACUCGGGAGGCAUUCAUGUCUUGAAUUUAACCACAGAAGCCCAAGAAGUCCUACUUCCGAAUCAGCCUAUGAGGUUGAUCUUGUCCAAAAAUGUGAAUUUAAAAAAAAAAAAAAAAGGCUAGGGACUUCCCUGGUGGUCCAGUGGCUAAGACUCCAUGCUGCCAGUGCUUAGGACCCGAGUUUAAUCGCUGGUCAGGGAACUAGAUCCCACAUGCUGAAACCAAAGAUCCUGCAUGCCGCAACUAAGAACCGACAAAGCCAAAUAAAUAAAUAUUUUAAAAAAUUAAAUGUAAAAAAGGAUAGUGAUAUCCUAGGAUUACAUCACACUGAUGGUUGCACAAUUUUGUGAAUCUAGUCUCCCUCCAUAUCUAAGUGGGGGUCAGUUCCAGGGCCCUCUUAAGAUCCUCAAAUUUGAAGAUGCUCAUGGUAAAGAACCCGCCUACCAAUGCAGGAGACCUAAGAGACUCAGGUUCGAUCCCUGGGUUGGGAAGAUUUCCUGGAGAAGGAAAUGGCAACCCACUCCAAUAUUCUUGCUUAGACAAUCCCAUGAACAGAGGAGUCUGGCAGGCUAUAGUCCAUAGGGCCACAAAUAGUCAGACAUGACUGAAGUGACUCAGCACACACGCAAGUUCCUUACAUAAAAUAAGGUAAUAUUAUAUUUAAAUAUAACCUAUGCACAGUCUACUGUAUCCUUUAAAUCAUCUCUAGAUCACUCAUAACACCUGAUGCAAUAUAAAUACAAUGUAAAUAAGUAUAGCAUUGUGUCAGUCACUCAGUUGUUUCUGACUCUGGGUGAUCCCACGGACUGUAGCCUGCUAGGCUCCUCUGUUCAUGGAAUUCUCCAGGCAAGAAUACUGGAUUGGGUAGCCAUUUAAGUUUAACGUAAAUGAUAGGUAAAUAGUUGCUGGCCAUUGGCAAAUUCAAGUUUUGCGUUUUGGAACUUUCUGGAAAUAGUUUCUUUUAAUUUUUUUCAGUCAACUGUCAGUGAAAUUCAUGCAACUGAUAUGGAUACAGAACCCAUGGAUACAGAGGGGUGACUGUAUACUGGAACCCACCAAACUGUACUUUUAAGUGGUGAAAUUUACAGCGUGUAAGUUAUAUCUCAGUAGAGGGAAAAAAGGGGGGCACCAUUCUUCCUAGUGGCCCAAAAUAAAUGGCAUGAACCCAGCAGGUUUCUGAAAGCCCCAUAACUCUUUUUUCUUUUUUUACUCCAGCACGCUUGAUAAAUGCUAACUCCCCUGACUCAGAAGAUUCCUUGGUGGUCCAGUGGUUAAGACUUUGUGUUCCACUGCAGGGGUUGUGGGUUUGAUACCUGGUUGGGGAACUGUGAUCCCGUAUGCCACAGGAAACCAUAAAAAGAAAUAAAUAAAUUGGGCCAAGAUACAAAAGAAAAUCUAAUCCUGGUGUAGGUAACACAAGAGAGUCGGGCAUCCUGUGGCUGUUCUGCCUGGACACUGGCAGGUACUGACAAGUCCAAAGCAGCCUGUCUUUUAUGCCCUCGAAGACAGGACUGUGGUGACACGGGGUCUGAGACUGGACCCUGCAGAAGAAAGGGGGCUUGGUGGUGGGGAGGACUUGCCUAUUGCAACCCUGCGUCUGUGAAUGACAGAUGUUGCUGCCAUAUUGGUAAACAAGGAUGCUGCAACCUUCAAGCCACCACAUUACCAGCCACACAGACCAUAAGCCCUGAGGGAACUCAGGAUGGAGGCAGGAAGCACCCACUCCCCAGCUAGAAGUCAGCCGCUGCAGCCACCGCCAGGGGGUACCCUGAGGAGACUCAGGAUGAGAAAACACGGUAUUCUGGCCCAGAGAGCAGAGGGUAUACCAAGGAAUGACGUCAGCAAGCCCAGACUUUUGCAACUUUCCCAUGCAUAGACAAGCGCUAAAUUCCUUAACUUGAAAUGUCUGGUGUUCUUUAACAGUAAGGUAGCUCAGUGGUAAAGAAUCCGACUGCCAGUGCAUGAGACAAGGAUUCGAUCCUUGGGUUGGGAAGAUCCCUGGAGGAAGGCAUGGCAACCCACUCCAGUAUUGCCUGGGGAAUUCCAUGGACAGAGGAGCCUGGAAGGCUACAGUCCAUUGGGUCGCAAAAGAGUCGGACAUGACUGAACAACUCAACAACAACAAUAGCAGCAAUAUUUUGAUGUUCUGACUACUUGGUCUUUGUUGCAGAAACUCCUAUGUAUCCUGGCUCCUGGCUUGCCUCUUUGGAGCAGUCCCACAGAGCUAUCUGAGAGGUUAUGUCCUGGGCUUAAGUUCUUUAAAGAUGUCCGCCAAAUAAAACAAAACUCUCAGCUCUGAGGUCGUGCUUUUUUUUUUUUCAGUUGAUAUAUCGGAAAGUCAUUUGGUGGGCCCAUGGUGGAUGGGCCAGUGUGGGGACCUAUGUGUAACCUGUGGGGGUGCUCCAGGGAGCCUGCCUAGCCCUUGCAAAGCCCUUGUGUCAGCAAGCACACUCUUCAAAACCCCACUUCUGAAUAAGGAAGCGCAACUUGACUUGUUGGGUUGGUGAAGAAAUCUCCACUGAAUUAAAAAUAGCAAAUAAAUGUAAGAAGUCAAAAUGCUGUACAAAGGGGAGAAUUACUUUAAGUGUUUACUCAUGGCUAUGCUGACUGGGCAUUUAAACUAAAUACAGCUUUACAUUUCUCCAGCUCCUAAAGUUGCCCCGUGGCUUGUGCAUCAAAUUCACCUUUUUUUCUAAUUGAGGACAGAGAGAGGUCUAAUUAUUCUUAGGAGAUAGCCCUAUGGAGCAGUUGAUUGAUUGAUAGAUCAAGCACUUUAUUUCUUUUUUAGUUUUUUUUUGGGGCUGUGCUGCAUGGCUUGCAGGAUCUUAGUUUCCCCAACCAGGGAUCGAACCUGGGCCUCCUGCAGUGGAAGCACAGAGUUCUACCCACUGGAAAGUGAAAGUGAAAGUCACUCAGUUGUGUCCGACUCUUUUGCAAUCCCAUGGACUUCAUGGAAUUCUCCAGGCCAGAAUACUGGAGUGGGUAGCCUUUCCCUUCUCCAGAGGAUCUUCCCAACCCAGGGAUCGAACCCAGGUCUCCUGCAUUGAGGGCGGAUUCUUUACCAGCUGAGCCACAAGGGAAUCCCAGAAUACUGGCAUGGGUAGCCUAUCCCUUCUCCAG
This is a long non-coding RNA of Bos taurus (domestic cattle), 6549 nucleotides long. The record is from Ensembl. Lineage: Eukaryota; Metazoa; Chordata; Mammalia; Artiodactyla; Bovidae.